This 728-nucleotide unclassified non-coding RNA is filed under the name Hevea brasiliensis (rubber tree). The record is from RNAcentral. Lineage: Eukaryota; Viridiplantae; Streptophyta; Magnoliopsida; Malpighiales; Euphorbiaceae.
AUGGACAUACAUCUUUUAGAUCUCUUCGACUGUCUCUGCAAAGCCCGAUUACGAGCUCCAGUAGCAAUGCUGCUUUUUUGCACAAAACUAUCAAGAAGAAUCCAGUUAUCAACUUUCACAUUUUUUGACCCCUGCAUAUAUUUCUGAGCUGAAUCACCAUGUUGGAGAAGAUCGUGCAAAAUAUCGUUAGCAGUCGUGUUUUUACCAGAAAUCUCAGUGGUAAUUUUCAGAAGAUUAUCGUCUACUGAAUGGGAUAUCUGAAGGUAUGCUGGAUUAUUUAGUUCAACAUCUUGAGCAGAUGUAUGGCCAGAAAAAGAUAUAUGGCCUUUUUUGGAUGACGGAGCUGAGGAAGUAGUCGUUGAUUUGAGUGGCGAAGGCGAAGAAUUGAUACUCUGGGUGGUGACUCCAAUGUUGUUUUCAGCUAGAGUUUUUGUUGUAGUAACAGCGACUCUCUUGUUCUUGUGCUGCUGUUGAUGAAUUUCAGCUUUUGCUUGAGCAAAUCUUCGCUCUAAUGCCUCCAUCGUUCGUUUCUUUUGUUGUUCAGCCAUUGUUUCAUUCGCCAUUGUUGUGCUCCCCUCUCUCCUUCAAGCUUUAUAUUUGGUAAUACUAAUAAUAAUAACAAUUGAAAAUUAAGCAAAAUUGUGUUAAAUUGAUAGAUAUGAGAAUGUUUGGGUCAAUUCACUUAAAUGGCCAAGAUACAAUCCAGACAAAUCUUAUAUGAUUUAACA